GCAUAUGGAAGUUCCCAGGCUAGGGGUCGAAUCGGAGCUGCAGCCGCCCACCUAUGCCUGAGCCACAGCAACAAGGGGUCCGAGCCGUGUCUGCAACCUACACCACAGCUCAUGGAAACACUGGAUCCUCAACCCACUGAGCCAGGCCAGGGAUGGAACCCGCAACCUCAUGGUUCCUAGUUGGAUUCGAUAACCACUGUACCACGACGGGAACUCCCCAUAACCAUCUGGCAAGGUUCCCGAACUGGUUCCUUACCUGGCAGGUAAAUAAAUUCAUUUGCCUUGUCCAUCCCUGUGGUGGUUUUCUUUCCUUCAACCAAUUUAAAGUGGAAGUUAUAAAUGUAGUUGGCCUUAGCAUGCUGUUUUCAUGCCUUUUCUUUCCCGAAAAUAUGCUCUAUCACUUGCUACAAUUUCUUGUUUUCCAGCAUGAAAUACAUAUCCUUAUCUUUUCUUAGAUUAUCACUUGAAGAUAUCAAACAAAAAAAUAGGAAAGUAUGAGAAAACCAUAAAUCCUAUCUCCAAAUCCUGAAAGCAUAAGACAGAAAAUGGUGACAAAAUUAAGUCUAAUGAAUUUUUGGAGAUUCUGUAAAGUAAUACCUUCACACAGAAAGGAAAAAUAAGGCACUAUCAUAAUGGAAGGCUUUUAAUAUGGUACAAAUUAUCUGAGUGACGUUACAUCUAAAAUUAGAAAACACUUAAAUUGAAGGCACUGUCAUUUAAAAAAAAUUUUUUUUAGGGCCGCACCUGUGGCAUAUGGAGGUUCCCAGGCUAGGGGUCAAAUCAGAGUUGCAGCUGCAGGCCUACACUGUAGCUCACUACAAUGCCAGAGCCUUAACCCACUGAGCCAGGCCAGGGAUCAAACCUGCAUCCUCACGGAUACUACAUUGGGUUCUUAACCUGCUGAGCCACAGUGGGAACUCUGACAUUGAAAUUUUAAUUAGUUUCCUCUAGAUCUUUCUUAGCUUUAAAUCCAUAUCCCUUGACCCCUGCAACGCCACUCCAAAUGACUUGACUUCUACACGUGUGCUAAUGUCCUGAGCAAAUACCUUCUUCUGCUGUGUUUCCUUAUCAGUCCCAACCAACCCACUGUCCCUGCAGCCAAGUUCUCAGAGUACGUCACACUCAGGUUCUAAUACGGCGUUUGUCAUGCUUUACUCUGGUUAACUACAUACAUUAUCUGCUGUUCUAAUAGGGUUUGUGUUUUGUAAAAGCAUAGGCUCUUUCUGAUUUAUUGCUGGACCCCUCACAGCAUCUGGCACAGUUUCUGGUAACCUUGGUGAUCAUUAAAUUUGCUUCUAGCGUAUGAAAAUUUGUUAGAAGAGAGUACAUGAUGCCAUGGAUCUUUCUACGCCCCCACAGCUGUGCUGGUGAUGGCCUGCCUGAAUGUCACACGUUACUGUGUAUAGUGUGUAUGUGUGUGCAUCCUUAAGUCUGAAAUUCCAAAUGACUGAAAUUUACAGACAGCUAUCAAUGAUUUGUUAAAUAAAUCACUCAGCAUUUAAUUAAUAAAUAUCAUGUGACCUGCAAACUUCUCAUGUCCCAUAAAUGAUUCUAUUUGAUUAAAGAAAUAUAAACACAAUCAUAAUGUAAAAGCCUAGAAUUUUUCUUUGUUAAAAAUAUUACUAGUAAUCCAGGACACACAGAAAGCAUUUGAUAAAUGAGUUGAUUAAUUAAUAACUGGGCAUUUCUUAGGCUUCAUAUGGAUUACACUAUUUUUCCUUACUGAUACACUUUCCUAUGAUACAAAUUCUAAUUUCUGCCAACUUUGGAUUGAAAUGACUUUUUAAGUUAUUUACUAAAAUUAAUAAUAAUUAAGCAUAAUAGGUCGAUCAGAGAAGAAAAAGGGGGAUAAUCUAAAAACAGAGUAGUGAUAUUCUUUAUAAAUUUACGGUGAGACAGACACAAAGGGACAAACAGUUGAAUUUUGAUGGACGUAGGUUCAACUCUUAGCUCUGUCACUGAACUAGUUGGUGACGUUGGUAAAUGAUUCUAAUAUCCCUGAAUCAGAGAAAGAAAGAUAAAAUUGAACACUGUGAGGAUUAAAUAAAAUGAAGGAUGUAAAGUUGUAGGUGGAGUGACUAUCACACUGAGACACGUGAUUUUCAUUGAGCUCUUUUAGUUAUCACAUCUCUUUCUCUGUCAAAUUCUGGGUUUGGGGCUUAAGCAUCUUUGGUCUCAGGAACGACUAAUGAAGGAUUUGCUAGAGCUACUGCAUCUUAGCUAGGCUUGAGGGCAUCUUCUAUUCUGGUCAAGUCAAUGGAGGUAACCAAGCUUCCACGACCGCUCAGAGAGGCAGACACGAAACCAAGACAAAACAAGCCUUGAGGGGAGUAGAGCAGGUGAGGGGUGUGAGAGCUGACCAGCUUUACUUCCCCGUAUCAGCCAGAAACCAAGCAGCUCAGUGCUUAGUUACUCACAUGGACUCAUGACCUGUUAAGAGCUGGGAAAGAAUGCUCAGGAAUACUGGCUUUACUAACAGGAGAGUCCGAGGCUUAGGGGCAAAAUAGCUUCUCUGAGGUUCUAGAGCUGGUUGGAGGCAGAUCCGGGACAGGAGCCCAGCUUUCCUGACAUCUGGUCCAGCACGCCUUCUUCUAUGCAGGCGUAUCUCUCCUUGCCUGCUUGAGGAAGGAGGUGAUACCCGCUCAAAUACUGAACUGCCAAGCCCUUGAUCAGCUCCUACCACGGCAGAAGCCUUC
Molecule: long non-coding RNA, 2696 nt
Filed under: Sus scrofa (pig)
Lineage: Eukaryota; Metazoa; Chordata; Mammalia; Artiodactyla; Suidae
Description: lncRNA (ENSSSCG00000055935.1)
Source: RNAcentral